This is a non-coding RNA of Pantherophis guttatus, 6891 nucleotides long. The record is from RefSeq and is a predicted model, not a curated record. Lineage: Eukaryota; Metazoa; Chordata; Lepidosauria; Squamata; Colubridae.
AAGUGGGCGGGGUUAGAAUUUCGUGCGUAGGGAAAAGCGCUUGGUUAUUACAACUUGAAUUUAGAGGAGAAGAGCGGCGGACAAAAGUGUCUGGAAGGAGAUUUUGUUACAAACCUGAGCCGCGCAUAAUUGCAGGCAGGAAAGUGCUCUAAUAAAAAAGCUCUACAGAGAAUCAUUAAAACUGCCCAGAAUAUCAUCGGACUCCAGCUACCAGCCCUGGACGACAUCUUCGAAUCUCGCUGUUUGAGAAAGUUGCAUAACAUUCUCAGAGACUCUUCCCAUCCUGUUUACAAUUUUUUUAGACUGUUGCCUUCUGGCAGAAGAUACAGAACAAAACUCGGACCACACAUUUUCUGAAUAGUUUUUAUCCAAAAGCUAUAAUUGCACUCAACAAUGAACUAAAGGGCCACCAUCAGUGAGUUGUUGGACAGUAUUACUUGGUCUGUUGUGUGGAUGUUUGGGUGGUUUAGGGGUGGAGAAUUGUGGUGGGUGGGAGUGUGUUUGGGGAUUGUUAUGUGUGUUGAACCUAGUCUUUGGGUGUUAAGUGAAUUUUGUUGUAUCGGUAUACUGUGUAUACAUGUACAAUGACAAUAAAGUUAUGAGUAUUUUCCUGCUUGCAGUUCUUGCUAGAUGCAAUUGAUAUAACAUAAUGUUUGCACUUAUUUUCUGGUCUGGUUAAUACAUAAUGCUAAGCAAUUAUAGAGUUAGUUUACUUUUCCUAUGCAAAUCAGACCAUUCAACAAACCAUGAUAAAAAUCCUGGCUCAGGAGAUUUCUGGUGAGGAAAUGGUAAACUGAUCCCACAAACAGCAGAAACAUUGUGGUUGAAAAUGGCAACUGGAUGCUGGAUCUGGACCAUUGAAAUCUCUCUGGAGAAAGAAGAGAUCUUGAGAUUGCCCAUAUAUACACUGGACAGCUGGGGUAAAGGUAGUAAGUACACUGCAGAAACCAGGAUGGAUAAAAAUCAAUGAUUUUUUUUAAAAAAUUAAAAAAAUCAGAUUUUUUUUAUUUAAAUCGGAUUUAUUUUAAUAAAAAACUUGGGGUAAAAAUCUAUCGUAAGAUAGUUUUCUAUUUAAGAUAAAUAAUUUAGUUUAUUCAGCAUAAAAUGGAGCUUAGUUAUGUAGCAUGAGGCUGUAUAUUCUGCAACACUGGGACUAUCGGUGAGUGAACAGUGGGUCAAAGGAGUAGCAGAGAUGACAGUUGCUCUUUAAAAAUUAUGAUUUAAAUCGAGUUGAUUUAAAUCAAGCCUUUUUACUAGUGAUUUAAAUCAUGAUUUAAAUUGUGAUUUAAAUCAACUCGAUUUAAAUCAAAUCCACCCUGACAGAAACUGAGGUUUGCAAUUGCUUUCAAACAGCUGAUAUUAGCCGGAUUCCACCAAACUCAUAGCCCUCAAGGCACCCUUUCAAGGUUCAACCAAACCUCACUUAAUCAUUUUGGAGUUUAUCUUUUUUUAGGUUGCUUUUUAAAGAUUAAAGACCUUCAGAACUGGAAAUGUGAUCAUAUUAAGUUCUUCAAUUUUUAGGAAAGAAGUUUUAAUUAUAAUUCAGACUUUUCCAAAAAUUUUUAAAUAUGCAGCAAAAGUGCUGAUUUGAGAAUUUUUUAAAUGGAUGAAAGGUCCAGAUUGACUUGAAUUAGAACUUUAAAAUUACAGUAACUAUAAGAAUCCUUCCUGUGGAAAGUUAUCUAUGUUUGCACUUGGAAUUGAUAAGGUGAUUUUGAAAAUUGGUCACUAGAGGGCACCAGAAGGAAAUAAAUUAUCAAUAAAUUCUUUAAGAGAAAUCUAUGAUUAUUGGGCUCCAAAAAUAAGUUAUCUGCUAUUAUUGAAAAAAUGGAUGAUGUUAUAGAAGAGGAACAAGUUACAUCGAAUAAAACAAAUUAAUUUAAAUGUGGAUUUGAAAAUGAUAGCAUAUAAGAGAUAGAAAAAGAUGAAAUAAUGGAUAUACAAAAAAAAAAUACAUUUGCAAAUGAGAUUUGUUGAUUAUUUAACAAUUUAAAAGACACACAACUACUAAACCAGAAGAAUGAUGUAAAUAUUCUCCUUAUAGUGGAUUUAUUAAAGGGACUUGUUGAAGUUGUCAUUGAUUUCUUGAGAACAGAAAGAAUACAAACACAAAAGAAUAUGUGGAUAACCUUUUAAUACUUUAAUUACAAAAAGGGCCUUUAAAGAAUAUGAAAAGGAAGCAGAUGUUAGGAAAUUGUUUGAGGGGACUAAAGAUUUUCAGGAAAAGGAGGAAAGAAUAUAAAAUUGUUUUAUUUGAUCAAGGCUAAAAUAAAUAGAUUGCUAGAAAAGGAGAUAAAGUAAAAGAAAGCAUUCAGACUAGAUUUAUUAGAUAUAGUUUAUCUGGGCAUUUAUAUCAUGCUUGUGAAGAAGGCAUGGAAGAGGCUGUUCUUCCUGAGAAUGCUCAGGAAGAUAAAUCUAUCUCAGGAUCUACUUCUGUCCUACUCUUGCAGGACCAUUGAGAGUGUCCUGACUUAUGGCAUUCUUGCAUGGUAUGGGAGCAGCUCUGUAGCAGACAAAAAAGCUCUACAGAGAAUCAUUAAAACUGCCCAGAAUAUCAUCGGGCUCCAGCUACCAGCCCUGGGCGACAUCUUCGAAUCUUGCUGUUUGAGGAAGUAACAUUCUCAGAGACUCUUCUCAUCCUGCUUACAAUCUUUUUGGACUGUUGCCUUCUGGCAGAAGAUACAGAACAAUUAAAACUUAGAUCACACAUUUUCUGAAUAGUUUUUAUCCCAGAACUAUAAUUGCACUCAACAAUGAACUAAAGGGCCACCAUCCGUGAGCUGUUGGACAGCAUUACUUGGUCUGUUGUGUGGAUGUUUGGGUGGUUUAGGGGUGGAGAAUUGUGGUGGGUGGCAGUGUUUGGGGAUUGUUAUAUGUGUUGGGCCUGGUCUUUGGGUGUUAAGUAAAUUUCGUUGUAUGGGUAUACUGUGUAUACAUGUACAAUGACAAUAAAGUUGUUAUUAUUAUUAUUAAUGCUGUAGUUAUUUCUGAUAAUCCUUAAUAGACUUUUGCUGGCUAAGAUGGUGUGAUGAGAUUGAUUUAUAAAGAAGGGUAUGAGUUAUGGAAUGAAGAUAUGGGUUAGUUGUAUUUUAAGAGAUGGUGAUAUGCUGUUAAUGUUGAUUACACUUGCUGAGGAUAUAGAGCGAGCUUUUGUUCUCUUUUUCUUUAUUUUUUCUUUUUCUGCAUUCUGUGUAUGUGUGUGUGCCCGCGCCUGUGUAUAGUAUUAGUUUAAUGUGUGUAACAUAAUUGUAAUAAAAAUACAAAUCACGAUAAUGCAUGAAUUCAUUCCGUAUUUGCUGAAGGGUGGGCAGCAAUAUGUACAUUUUGCAAUGUAUGCUUACUCUAAAGUGUACUGCUCCAACUAAUUUAAUUUCUAGCUGAAAUUAUUUUAUCUGCAGGCUUUCUACUAUAAAAAGCAAAUUCCCAGAUUUGUGGUUGCUGUCUAAGUCUAGCAAUAAAUUCGAGGAAGAGCUACAUAAUCUGUUCUUUAAAGGGUUUUCUCUGCAAAAUGGUUCUGUGAGACAACUCGCUGAGGGACAACUUGCUUUGGGCAAUUCAACAAUUCAAUUUAAUUAUUUAAUUAAAAAUAUUUUAAUUUUUGUCAUUUACAUUUCAUUUUGUCACUCCUUUGGCAUCCUUUCUUUAAUGAUUCUAUUCUACCAUUUCUUUGAUAUCAGUGUAACUCUUGUCCCGCUGUGUGUUGGCCUGGGGCGAGUUGGCUAUGGCAAGUUGCCCUGUUUUGGGUUAACUUUUAUUGUUAAGGAUAGCCCAGGGAUGGCUGGUGCUGAUGCUAAUUUUGUUGCUAAUCAAAUAAAUAUAUCUUACAGAUGGUCAAAGACUAGAAGUUCUUUAUACAAUGGAUAUAAUUAAAAGAAAAAUAGUGGGAAAAUAGAAAGAAUACACAAAAAAACUUGGUUUACUGCAUUAAGUGAUAGAAUUCCAUAGGAUCUGCAGUGUUACACAUUAUACAAAGAGUCUGAACAGCAAAGCCAAUGGACAGCAUCUCCCCCCGCCCCCCAAAAAAGAUUUCUAAGAAUGAAUCUGCUUGUAGGAAAAAUACAUUCUCAUUAUCUGACCUGUAGGACAGUUAGAUAAUCAAGGCUUCAUCCAAUCAAUGUCCCAUGUCAAAUAAAAUGAGCAGCCAAGUCAAAUGUGUAACUGACUCAAUUUCCCCAGCUGAGAAAGAACAAAGGCAAACUUGAAUUUGAAAUGUGCAUAAUUUCUAAAUAGAGUUUUAUUUAUUAGCAAGUGUGUGCGCGAUCCCGUUGUGAACCAGUAGUAAAGGUAAGUAGAACCCACCCCUGUUCUGACCUGAGGAAAGCACAGAACAAAAUAAUAAAGCUGUAUUUUAGAAUAGGAAAGGUUUGAUAUUCUAUUGAUUAAUGAUAAUGGCUGAGAAUUUGGAUGUUUUGUUUCUUCUUAAACAAUUCUAAUUCUUGGAACAAAGAGCCCAAGAUAGAAAGUUCUUCUUCAGUAAACUGUAGGACCAUUGCUAAGAAUAAUUACCAGUGAUUACAAGUGGAAGUUGGAACAGAGUUGUCAACCUGACCUAAAUAGAUUGUUUGCAAAUCAAAAAUACUGUAAAAAAAAAUACUGUAAUUCAUAAUAGACACCACAACAAUAAAUAUUGAUAGUACUAGCCUAGAAACCCGGAAUCUUGUGAAUUCUAGACUUCCCUUGGGUAUGAAAGGCUAGGCACUCUCAAUGGGGAAAACAGCAGGAGUAUUACAUAUAUUACCACUUUGAGUUGUAGUAUAUAUAAAAAAGUGGGAUAAAAAUGUAAUAAUAGCAAUAUUUAUAAUUUUAAAAAUAGAGAAGAUACUUUUACACAAAAUUAAAAGGCUGUAACAUGCUAACCUAUAUAGAUUACCAUUAUCUGGUUCAGCCCAGACAACCUGUCUGAUUAUCAAUUUAAACAUUUAUUUAUUAUUUAUUUAUUAUUUCAAUAGUGUGGCAGCAAGUAAUAAGAUAAUACAAUAAAGCCAAAUAAAAUAAGUAAUAUUUUAAAUCAUACCCUUUAAAAUACACAGAUAAAUUACCCUGACAGAGAGGCACUUAAAAGACAAAAGGCAUUGUUUGUAAGUCUCAGGUAGAGGAAGGAAAACUACCUGGUACCGAAAGGCAAGUAAUAUUGGCAGCAGCGAAGCCUCUAGGGAAGGCCGUUGUACAGCUGGGCUCAUCUCCCAAUAAUGUGGUUCUCCCAGCCCUAGGAGACUGAGGAGAGCGCCUCUCUGUUCCUACAGAGUGUAAUAUCCUCAUCCAAUAUACUCCUACUCAUCCAAGGGGUAAUGUUACUGGCACCUGGUGCAAUUCUUCCAGGGCUAAUGUUACUUGGUCUGUUAAAACUGUUCUAGAUAACAGGCUUGCUGCUGUAUUUUUCGCUACCUGCAGUUUCCAUCUUCAAAAGGCAGACUUUUCAUAGAGUGCACUGCAAUAACCCAAAAAUAAUGCACUAAAGUGAUCAGGCCAUCCCUGGGAGUUGCAAUUGCGAAGUGAGAUAUAGGUGGCUGGAUGCAUCCAGUGACACCUGGGCCUUGAGUGAUACAGAUGAAUCCACAACCUGAAUUAUGUAUCUGCUUCUGCAAGAGGAAUAUAGCUCCAGGUAUGUUCCCAGACUUGCAAGCUGCCAAUUCAGAGCAUCUCUAUUUUGCUGAUAGUUAACUUCAGUUUAUUACUGAAUAAAUUGAACAUUUGCGCUGUCUUGCCUGAGUCUUAUGAAAUGGAAAAUCAGUUCCAGUGACUUUAGAUUUUAUAAUUGGAGAAGUUAGUUUCGGUCUUAUUUUAAAAGCCAUCACUAUUUAUCUUUUUCCCAUAAUCAGGAGGAAGGGUGGCCUUCACGUAUUCCUUCAAGCAUGUAAAUUUCCUGAUCUAAAAUACUGAUAUAAUUCACUCAUAGUACAUCCAUUCAACAGUGACAUGACCAUCUUGUGACUCUAAACUUGUUGAUACAUUUAUAGAAAAAAAAUCAGCAAACGGAAUAAGUUUGCUGGGAUUUGCCAACUGCCUUUGUUCUUAUGCAGCCAGUUGUCCUCUGUUGUUUGUGGUUUUACAACAAGCAGUGAUAACCCUAGCUUGAAUUUUUUGCUCUCAGUUUGCAAGCUCAUAGCAGUUGCUUUCAUUUCCAGAUCCUUUGGCAUUGUUGCUUGUUUUGAACAGAGAAGUUUCUGUGCCUAUGUGCUACAAUAGUGGCACAUGUCCUCAUUAAAAUAUCUAGAAAUUCAUGUUCUUUUCCUGUAGAACAGAACUUUCUUUUCCGGCCACUGUGGAGGGUUUGCUUCUACAAAAUGCUGAUAUUAAUGAAAGUUGUCAUGGUUUCAAUUGAAGAAGGAGCACAUCAUUGAGAAGAACCAUAUUUAUUGCAAGGUUCCUUGAAUACUUACUUUAGCAAUAGCACUUAGACUUAUAUACCGCUUCACGGUGUUUUACAGCCCUCUCUAAGAGGUUUACAGAGUCACCAUAAUGCCCCCAACAAUCUGGAUCCUCAGAAGGAUGGAAGGCUGAGUGAGAUGACCUUGACUUAGGAGCAGCCGAAUCUUUCUUCAGCACUGACAAGUAGUCGAAUCUUGAUUAAUCCAUGGCUGCUGCCUGAGGCUAUCUUCUCUCCCCCUGCCUGAAGGUAGAACAUGCCUACAUUACAAUAAUAUGAAAAGGAAAGCAUCUGCACAGUAAGUCAACAUUUGGUGUAACUUCAAGAGGAUUAAACAAUACAAACACAGGAAGGAAACCAUCAACUGCUCCUCAAUGAGUGCCUGGUCAGAAGAUCAAAGGCAAAGCUGAUGAUUACAGCAAUCUUGGCCAGUGUCCUACAUGCACUGAUAAAUGCAUGAGGAUGCUACAUAUGUUGAUUGAUAUAUAUAUCCCAUAUGUUAAUAAAAAGUAACCUCAAGUAAA